This 378-nucleotide ribosomal RNA is filed under the name uncultured bacterium. RNAcentral describes it as "bacterial SSU rRNA". It matches the Rfam family "Bacterial small subunit ribosomal RNA", at positions 521 to 896 of the family's 1533-position model. The record is from RNAcentral.
UAAUACGUAGGGCGCAAGCGUUGUCCGGAAUUAUUGGGCGUAAAGAGCUCGUAGGCGGUUUGUCGCGUCUGGUGUGAAAACUCAAGGCUCAACCUUGAGCUUGCAUCGGGUACGGGCAGACUAGAGUGCGGUAGGGGUGACUGGAAUUCCUGGUGUAGCGGUGGAAUGCGCAGAUAUCAGGAGGAACACCGAUGGCGAAGGCAGGUCACUGGGCCGCAACUGACGCUGAGGAGCGAAAGCAUGGGGAGCGAACAGGAUUAGAUACCCUGGUAGUCCAUGCCGUAAACGUUGGGCACUAGGUGUGGGGCUCAUUCCACGAGUUCCGUGCCGCAGCAAACGCAUUAAGUGCCCCGCCUGGGGAGUACGGCCGCAAGGCUA